UGUCUCAUGGUGUUAGGUUGAGGCUGGGGGUCGCGGGAUGCCAUGGGGACAGCCUGGCUUGGCUGUCACCCACCACCCCUGCCCUGCCGUGCCAAUGACCAGCUGAAUGUAGCAUGGUUAUGUAUCAAGGGGCUGCUCAGGUCUCAUUUGAUGGGGAGGAAAAAAAAACCCAGAAGGCUGGCAAGGAGGCAGGAGAGGGGUCUUCCACAAGGAGUGGAGGGGGCAGCACAGCUGCAGGGUCCCAGAGAGGCUCUGCUGGGGCAGCUGCUUGGUUUAGAAGAAAAAAGCCCCAAGUGUAGUGCUGGGCCAAGCCAGCAGCUUAUGUAAGAGCUGGCAGCAGGACUGGUGGUGCGGAAACCCAGCGCGCUGCCAGCGGGGUGCAAUCGCCUUUGAUUUUCUCCUGUUUGCUCAGCAGCUUUCAUGCGGUGGGGGAGCGGGGCAAGGGCGCGAGAUUCCUGCACACUGAACUUCUCUGUUUCUCUCGGCAGGAUAAACAGGACAUAAAACAAAGCCCCAAGCCAGCCCUUGCCUCCAAGGCAGCGUGCUGCCAAACCCCCAGCGGGGUGGCGCAUCCCCCCGUGUGCUCCCUAAGGAGCAGCCACCCCAUCUGGGAUGCCGCAGCCUGGGAUGCAGGGAGGUAAUGGGAGCCUACCCAGUGCGGUUUCUGGGCACUGCAGCCACUUUUGCAGCUGGGUGAGGGUUGCCUCUUGGUGUUGGAGGAGCAAGCAGGAGAAAGGGGGCAAAGGUCCCUGGCAGGGCUCAGGCAGCAAGUCCCAUGGUUUCAGAUAGCUGAGGAUGGGUGCUCCAGAAGUGACUCCAGGCUAGACACUGUGCGGACACUGGCUGGGGUGGGUGUCCCCUGCAGAGGUUUUGCUGUGACCUGGCUGCCCCACAAGGCACAGUCCCAGGCAGUGGGACUGAGCCCUCCCUGUCUGAUGUAACAUGAGAUGCAGUGGGGUGAGGAGGCGGUUGAACACUGGUCCUCUCUGUGCAAUGGGCUUGGGGUGGGGUGGCGGGGUUCACAGCUCCCUUAAAGCUGGGCUACUUUAUUUAUAACCCUCCCUAAGGAGUAAUUUCCAGGCUCUCUUGCCCCCAUGCUAGAUGCCUGCCAGUGACAGUGUGAGGGACUGACCUCAGCCCUUUCCCAAUACAACUUAGCUAAUCUGGCUCCCCAGGGAUGCAGCUGUGGGGCCAGACCUCUGCCAUUCCAAGCCCAUGCCAGUUCCCCUGCCUUUCCACAGAGCCACAAUUUCACCACUGCCAGCCUGGUGCAGGGCAAGGUGAGAAGGCAGGGAGCAAACUGCGGUUAAAAUUUCCAAGAGUUUCAAGAGGGGUUUGCUCUGGAGCAAAGUGCUCUGUAACCACCUUGAAAUCACUUGGUUGGGGAAAAGCACUGGCCAAGUGCAAGGCUGCAGCAAAACUCCUAGCAAAUGCUAUUGCUGCUAAAGCAACGUGAAGGGAGGAUGGCUUGGUGCUGCACCUCUGUCCUGCUUGACUGUCCUGCUGGCCAUGGAGGGCAGUGAGCUCCCCUCUCCUCCAAGGCGCUGUCAGUGAGUUAUCCCGAGCUGCCCUGCCCUAGCCCUGCCACGCUCCUUGUGCUGCUGCAUGCAAUGGCAUUGCCGACUUCUGCUCCAAAAAGGAAGAGCUUUGGCAGGGAAAAAGCUGCUUGGGCAGAAAGCUGUUUCCUUGGCUGGGAUUUGGGGGGUCUGAGCCACACACAUAAAAACCCAUUGGAAAUGCAGAGGUAUGCAAGGCAGGUGCUGCCUACUGCAGCACUGGGCCAGGAAAGCCAGGCUGGGGUGGCCUUUGGGGUCCCUUUCUUGUACCCAGAUGGGAAGAACAAGCUGAUGGCUGGAGCUGUACGAGGGCUGGGGUUGGUGAAGGCUUGGGGAGGUGUGUGGGGUUGCCUCCUCAUGCAGCCGCACCAACCUUGGGCAGGAGGGGCUUGAGGAGCACCAUGCCCAGGUGCCUGCUCCAGCUGCCAGUUUGUGGGCGCUGAGCACCCCUGCUAGUGCUGGUAGGCUGCAGAGCUGAGCUGUGCUCCUCUGAAACCAUUGGGAUCUUUGGUGGGGGGGCAGAGAUGCAAACCCUUGGGCCCCUUAUCCAAACCUCUUGGCCUGGGGUUUUGUGAGAGCUGGCUUUCUCAUAGGAUUCCCACUCCAGGCUUGAUGGGUUGGAAAUACUGCAAAAACAGCCCUUUUUCUCUUUUGGUUUGGUUUUUCCCCCUGAUGUUUUUGUCUUUCCACUUCCGUCUCUGGCCAAGGCGAGUGGUGCCAAGGCACAAGAGCCAGGCACACCCAGAGGGAGGGAGAAGCAAAGCACCCUCAACCCACAGGAAAACAGGCACAGAAAGUAAGCACGGUGGCCGGGAGCAAGGAGGAGGGUUUGCUUGUCAGCUCCGGCCAAGGGACAGCCCUCCUCAGGGAGGUCCAUGGACUCAAGGGGAGAGCUGUCGCUGAUUUUAGGACAGAAAGACCAAAAUAUGGCUUCCUGAAGCAUAUGCCAUGCUUAGAGAGGGAGAAGAAUGGUUUCCUUAUCUUCAAGAGAGAGAAAUGCCAUAGCUGGAAGGUCUCCUUUCAUCUCUGACAUCCUCACCAAAGCCUGUCCUCCCAUGCAGAGGACAGCUGUCCUUGCUGCAGAUGGUUUGGCUGCGCAAGAGAAGCCAAAUUGUUAUCCUUCAGGGAAGGCUGCAAGAUCUGCAAUGGGUUUUGAAGAAAGAAAUUAUCUGUAUGUUGUCAGAGGAUGGAAAGAAGAGGUGCCUAGGGCUGCAUCUUCCAGGCUGGCCUCCAAGCUGCUGUCACCUACCCCAUCUUCUCUCUGAUGGCUGCUGGGAAGGUGCCUCACACUGCUGGGUGUCCAAGGUGGACCAGCAGCAGCCCUGCAUGUGUAUGAUGGUGGCAUGGGAUUGCUAAGGUAACUUUUAGAGGGCAAAAGCCCCCCUCAGUUCCAUGCCCUGAACCUUGACUCCUGCAUCCUUCCUUCAGUGUGGCACAGACUUUGUCCAGAGGUACCUCAGAUCCUUGCGCAGGAGGAUGGAGCGGGCAUCUGGCAUGACAAGCUGGGAAAGGAUUUUAUUUCUGCACUUGGGCUCUGGCCUAGAGAAAUCAAUUGGCUUUCACGCGUUUUAAGGAAGAAAAAAAAUCCUUUCCUGCUGCCAUUAAAGUUUUUGUCUCCUG
Molecule: non-coding RNA, 3176 nt
Organism: Phalacrocorax carbo (great cormorant)
Lineage: Eukaryota; Metazoa; Chordata; Aves; Suliformes; Phalacrocoracidae
Source: RefSeq, a predicted model, not a curated record